GACGAACGCUGGCGGCGUGCUUAACACAUGCAAGUCGAACGGAAAGGCCCCUUUGGGGGUACUCGAGUGGCGCACGGGUGAGUAACACGUGAGUAACCUGCCCUUGACUUCGGGAUAACUUCAGGAAACUGGGGCUAAUACCGGAUAGGAAUCCUUGCUGCAUGGUGGGGGUUGGAAAGCUUCGGUGGUUUUGGAUGGACUCGCGGCUUAUCAGCUUGUUGGUGGGGUAGUGGCUUACCAAGGCUUCGACGGGUAGCCGGCCUGAGAGGGCGACCGGCCACAUUGGGACUGAGAUACGGCCCAGACUCCUACGGGAGGCAGCAGUGGGGAAUAUUGCACAAUGGGCGGAAGCCUGAUGCAGCAACGCCGCGUGCGGGAUGACGGCCUUCGGGUUGUAAACCGCUUUCAGCAGGGGCGAAGCUUGUGGUGACGGUACCUGCAGAAGAAGCACCGGCUAACUACGUG
Molecule: ribosomal RNA, 465 nt
Filed under: uncultured bacterium
Lineage: Bacteria
Description: partial 16S ribosomal RNA
Rfam family: Bacterial small subunit ribosomal RNA
Source: RNAcentral